GCCAUUUUGUGUGAAACUGAAACUUGUGUUUCUGUUGAAUCGUUAAGGUUAAGUGAGAGUGUAGUAUAUUUAAAUUAUAAUCACGUUUGCAUAAAUUUUCAAUAUAUUUGAAGUGAACCAGCGUUCUUGUUGUCAAAGGUUUUCCAAAGACUUGUUAGUCUGUUCGUGAAACUGAAAAUGUACAACUGGAACACAACAAAGGGAAAGAGCUCAGUAGGCCUGUAAAGGAUGAUAAGGCACCAGACAUUUUGGCUGCGGUUCAGCUCAAACCAUGCAACUCAUCUAGAAGAGUGGCUUCCGAAGCAGAAAUUUGCCAACGAUCAGUACUCAGGAUCCUUAACCCUGAAACUGACCAUCAUUUUUCCCCCAAAAUGGCAGGCACCUAUCGCCAUUUUGGAAGGGGGUUUUAAAAUGUUUAUUACUGCUCAUCUAUUUUUCAAGAUACAGACAUUUAAAUAUAUCAGUGUUUUAAGAAAUAAAUGUACUUUACAACAAAAUAAUUAAAUAUUUAAUCAUUUGAAUUUUACUUUUUAAAAUAAAUUAAAUGACAUGUAAAAAAGUAAUAAUGAAUUUUUCCCCAAUUUAUAGCUUCCUCACAGCCAAUGUAAAAUUUAUAUUAAUAAAUCCAAAAUAUACAAAA
This 640-nucleotide unclassified non-coding RNA is filed under the name Homalodisca vitripennis (glassy-winged sharpshooter). RNAcentral describes it as "ataxin-2-like protein, transcript variant X2". The record is from RNAcentral. Lineage: Eukaryota; Metazoa; Arthropoda; Insecta; Hemiptera; Cicadellidae.